GAAAACUUUGGCGAUGGAGUUCGCCGUAUAACCGCCUCAACACGGGCUGAUAACUCCUACUCGUUA
Molecule: non-coding RNA, 66 nt
Filed under: Deltaproteobacteria bacterium
Lineage: Bacteria; Pseudomonadati; Myxococcota; Myxococcia
Description: Fluoride sequence
Rfam family: Fluoride riboswitch aptamer (crcB RNA motif)
Source: RNAcentral